UAAGCCAUGCAAGUCAUAUGUUCCUCGUGAACAUGGCAUACUGCUCAGUAACACGUGGAUAACCUGCCCUUGGGUCUGGGAUAACCCCGGGAAACUGGGGAUAAUAUCGGAUAACGCAUAUGUGCUGGAAUGCUUUAUGCGUAAAACGGAUUCGUCCGCCCAAGGAUGGGUCUGCGGCCUAUCAGGUAGUAGUGGGUGUAAUGUACCUACUAGCCAACAACGGGUACGGGUUGUGAGAGCAAGAGCCCGGAGAUGGAUUCUGAGACACGAAUCCAGGCCCUACGGGGCGCAGCAGGCGCGAAAACUUUACCAUGCGGGCAACCGUGAUAAGGAAACCCCGAGUGCCAGCACAGGCUGGCUGUCCGCCAGUUUAAACAACUGGCGAAGAAAGGGCCGGGCAAGACCGGUGCCAGCCGCCGCGGUAAUACCGGCGGCUCGAGUGGUGGCCGCUAUUACUGGGCUUAAAGGGUCCGUAGCUUGAUAAUAGGGUCCCUUGAGAAAUCCGCCGGCUUAACUGGCGGGCGUUCAGGGGAAACUUGUUUUCUAGGGACCGGGAGAGGUGAGGGGUACUGCCGGGGUAGGAGUGAAAUCCUGUAAUCCCGGUGGGACCACCUAUGGCGAAGGCAUCUCACCAGAACGGGUCCGACAGUGAGGGACGAAAGCUGGGGGAGCAAACCGGAUUAGAUACCCGGGUAGUCCCAGCUGUAAACUAUGUGCGUUAGGUGUGUCAGUGACCACGUGUCACUGAGGUGCCGAAGGGAAACCGUGAAACGCACCGCCUGGGGAGUACGGUCGCAAGGCUGAAACUUAAAGGAAUUGGCGGGGGAGCACCACAACGGGUGGAGCCUGCGGUUUAAUUGGACUCAACGCCGGAAAUCUCACCGGAUAGGACAGACAUAUGAUAGUCGGGCUGAAGACUCUACUUGAUGAUCUGAGAGGAGGUGCAUGGCCGUCGUCAGUUCGUACUGUGAAGCAUCCUGUUUAGUCAGGCAACGAGCGAGACCCA
Molecule: ribosomal RNA, 1006 nt
Filed under: uncultured archaeon
Lineage: Archaea
Description: bacterial SSU rRNA
Rfam family: Archaeal small subunit ribosomal RNA
Source: RNAcentral